RNAcentral lists this long non-coding RNA (936 nucleotides) under Bos taurus (domestic cattle). Its description in RNAcentral is "long non-coding RNA NONBTAT006632". Lineage: Eukaryota; Metazoa; Chordata; Mammalia; Artiodactyla; Bovidae. The record is from RNAcentral.
AUGAAGCUGAACAAUAAUGUGACUGAGUUCAUUCUACUUGGGUUAUCACAGGAUCCUGUUAGGAAGAAAAUAGUGUUUGUCACUUUCUUGUUUUUAUAUUUGGGAACAUUACUGGGUAGCUUCCUGAUUAUUUCCACCAUCAAGACCAGCAGGACAUUUGGAAGUCCAAUGUACUUCUUCCUUUUCCACUUAUCUUUAUCUGAUACCUUUCUCUCAACUUCCAUUGCCCCUAGAGUGAUUUCUGAUGCCCUUAGGGGAAAGAGCACAAUCUCUUUCAAUGAGUGCAUGACUCAAGUCUUUGCAUCACAUCUUUUUUUGUUGUUGCCUAGAGAUCUUCAUCCUUAUUCUCAUGGCUGUUGACCACUAUGUGGCCAUCUGUAAGCCCCUUCGAUACAUGACCCUCAUGAGCCAUCGAACCUGUGGUGUGUUGGUAGCUGUGGCCUGGGUGGGGUCUUGUGUUCAUUCUUCAGCUCAGAUUCUUCUAGCCUUGAGUCUGCCUUUCUGUGGUCCCAAUGUAAUUGAUCAUUAUCUAUGUAACUUGCAGCCUUUGUUGAAAUUGCGUGUACAGACACCUAUGUGACCAACCUACUCUUGGUGUCCAACAGUGGUGCCAUCUGUACAGUGAGUUUUGCCAUGCUGAUGUUAUCCUAUGCUAUCAUCUUGCAUUCUCUGAGAAACCACAGUGCUGAAGGGAGGAAGAAAGCCCUAUCCAACUGCAUCUCUCACAUCAUCAUGGUCAUCUUGUUCUUUGGUCCUUGCAUAUUUAUAUACACAUGCCCUGCAACUACCUUCCCAAUACAUAAGAUGAUAGCUGUGUUUUACACAGUUGGAACACCUUUGAUCAACCCUCUGAUUUACACACUAAUGGAUACAGAAGUGAAAAAUGCCAUGAGAAUGUUAUGGGGCAAGAAACUGACAACAGGUGACAAAAGAUAA